CACACACACACACACAGGGAUAUACACAAUGUUUCUCACUCAUUUACAUAUAGAUGUACACAGACACAGGAAUUGCAAAUAAUACUACCUUAAAUUGCUUUAUAUUCACACACUAUAUCUUCAUAGAAGCAUUCACAAUCUCUCACACUUAGAAAAAAAUUAGACUUGUGCAUUUAUAUUUGGACAUUCUAUUCAACUGUUUGUCUUAAUAAUAAAUAUCUGAAUAGCUAAAUGAACAAAUCAAAUGAUGAAUGCAUUGCAUAAUGGACACAAUUUCAUGCAGUUCAUUCAUUUGUUGAUUCGGAGAAGGCGCUUAAAAAUUGCAACAAAUAAUCAGAAUAGAAAGAGAGUUUUUUUUUGUUUGGCAAUCAUCUUCUUAACCCCUUAAUGUCAGAGGCAAUUGUACAAGUUCUGACCAAAAACAAAACCUAGAAUUUGACCUAUAUGUCUUUUUAACCAUAAUUUACCUCUUUCAUAU
Pelobates cultripes (western spadefoot toad) is the source of this 478-nucleotide non-coding RNA. The record is from the annotation of a GenBank genome assembly. NCBI's taxonomy places the organism in Eukaryota, Metazoa, Chordata, Amphibia, Anura, Pelobatidae.